GCCGCAUGUCCCGGUAAUGUAGCAGAUCUGGGAAGAUAGCCUGGAUGGAUGAGGGCAGUAGCCCACGAUCCGUACAAGUGUGUGGUGUUGCAGUGGAGGAUCGUGUAAAUUUCCUUAAAGAUGGGGGAGACCUUUGAAGGGAAAAGCUUCAGUAUGCAAGACGCGGAGUCGAUUACGAAACCUAAGAAGUGGAUCAUCCACUAUGAAAAAC
This is a non-coding RNA of Pelobates cultripes (western spadefoot toad), 211 nucleotides long. NCBI's taxonomy places the organism in Eukaryota, Metazoa, Chordata, Amphibia, Anura, Pelobatidae. The record is from the annotation of a GenBank genome assembly.